AGGGCCAAAGUGUGCCCAAUGUCCCUCCAAGCCUUGGAACUCAACCUAGAAACUACAAUGACAUGUUUAGACCACAAAAUCAUUAAGAAUCAAAGGCUAGAAGUGAGUUCACGGCCAAGGCUGUUCUUGGGCCGUGAACUCCAUUUUUAGGUGCCAAAACACCCUAAAAGCCUUCCUUAAGCCAAGAGACUAGUUUAGACAUGUACCCUAAUGAGUUUAGGACUAGCAAACACCAUUAGAACACCAAGAGUAAGGUGUUCACGGCCCAAGAAGUUCCAUGGCCGUGAACUCCAAACAAUAGUGCCAAAUGGUGCUAUAAACUCUUCUAAAGCCUUGUACACUAGCAUAAUUUAGUUCCUAGUUAAAUUAGGGACUUGAAAACACCAAAAACACCCUCCCAAGGGAGAUUACGGCCGUAAUAUCCAAGGUAUAUGGUCCCAGGGCUGCAAACUCCUAAAAGGAGUUAUAUAAUGCCCUAAACUCUUCCGUAGACCAAGCCAUUAAGUAGGAAUUCUUAUUAGGGCCUUAUAGAGCAUCAAACAUAAAAUGGUCAUAUAAGUAUGAGCUUAUGACCGUAAACUCAUUUGGUAGUGCCAUUAGGGUCGUGAACUCCCUUAUGGAGUUUUCCUUGAACCCUACACACAAUAGCUUUUCCCUACCACACUUAGAUGCAAUCUUAGAGGCUAAUAACACUUGAUAAAGGUGUUUAGCAUGUCCUAGGGUGUCUUGAUUUGUUAUUAGUUGUUUAUAGACUAAUUUGAUACAUAUAUGUGAUAUUAUAUGUUAACUAGGAUCAUAGAGUGUGUUCAAGACUUCACUUGACACCUAGCCAUCCUACUUCUUCAGUUCUUCAGUACCACUCACAACAGGUGAGUUCAUACCCCUUACUCAAUGUUUUAAAUGUUUUUAAAUGUUUUAUGGGGGGGGGGGUACAAGUAGAAUCAUGCUAGUUAUUAUAUCAAUCACAUGAGAUUAAUAAGCAGCAUUUACAUGAUUUGCUACUCAUUAGCCGUUUUACCAAACAGUUUCUUCACAUGAUUUUCAUAAACGUUUUAUAUGUUUAAAACUCCUUAUUAAACUGUUCAUUAUGCACUAUAUGUUUCAUUUCAAACUCAUUUAUAAUUGUGUUUCAAACAAAUGUUUCUUUAUACUUAGACUGUUUUAUCAAACACAUGCUUUCAACCCGUUUUAUGGAUUGACAUCAAGUCGAUCUUUUCUUAGAUAGAAAUCAUGUUCAAAAGGUUUUACAAAACUUAUUUUAUGCUUUUAUAUUGUAAAUUUCAUGCCUAUAUAUGUAUAGUUAUAUAAGAAAUGUUGGAAGGACUAAGGAAGGCUAUCCACCCUAUUUCCUUUUCGCGCUUGAGAUGUGGUCUGGUGGGAUAUCGGGUACUCGUCCGAAGGUCGUUUAAAUAUUAGUUAUAUAUCCUGUGUACAUAUAUAGUCAUAAAGGUUCUUCCAGUUCAUUCAAUACCCUUGGGUAGCAAGGGUAUACAUCCAUGUUCAUACAUACCAAUUACAUUACUAGUAAGCUACCAUAUGGGUAGUUUAGGAAGAUAUUAGAACCAUUACUAGAACGCGAUAUCAUACAAUGAGUCAGUUCAUUCAUGAGUCAAUACUUGCUAGAUAGAGAGAACGUACAUUACAGCUAGUACACACAGCACAUUAUUAUACAUGCUAGAUAGAGAGAGAACACACAUUAUAGCUAGCACACGCAAAACAUUAUAGUACAUUACUAUAUAACUACAUGAGUACGUUUACAUGAUUACUUUUACAUGAGUACAUUUACAUGAUUACAUUUACAUGAGUACAUUUACUUAUAUACGUUUACAUAGAGAUCCUGUUAUAAGCAUGCCUAUAUAUGUAUAGUUAUAUAAAUAAUGUUUAAAGGACUUAGGAAGACUAUCACUAUCCACCCUAUUUCCUUUUCGCGCUUGAGAUGUGGUCUGGUGGGAUACAGAUAUCCGUCCGAAGUUCGUUUAAACAUUAGUCAUAUAUCAUGUGUACAUAUAUGGACAUAAUAGUUCCUUUCAGUCAGUUCAGUACCUUUGGGUAGCAAAGGCAUACGUUCAUAUACUUUUACAUGAUUACGCUUACAUGAGUACGUAUACAUUGAUACGUUUACAUGAGUGCGCUUACAUAUACGAUAGUAGGACAGACAUCACUAGGUGUUAUAGCAUGGAACAAGUUCAGGAUCUAACUAUACCAAUGAAUAGCAACGCUUUGUGAUAGUUAUAUCGGUAUACAUGAUCAUAGUAAUGUGGAUGUUCACGGCGUGCAAAUAUGCAGGGGUCAUGUAAAGGUCCCAAAAUCCCUUUGACAGCGGAGCGUCUAGCCUGGGAUCAAUCCAUCACAUUAUGCCUUAUCCCUCAAAUAAGGCAAUAGGAGUACAGAAGUAGUCACUUAUUACAAAUACUACAGUACUUAUAAGAAUUACCUUGGACUUAAGGUAAUUAGUACGGUUGUAGUUCGACACUACACCAUAGUACUAUUUCAUUUUCCCAUUACAUUCACUUCGUGAACAUUCACACGACGCACGGUAAUGUAGAAACUAUAUUUUUGGUUAAUGAUAGUCAGAUUUGGGAAAAAACACACUCUUACAAGAGACACACACAGACACUAGAUGCCUUGGUAGAAGGAUACGAUUAGUAGGAAACAUAGGGCUUCCUAGGAUCAUUCACAACAUUUUCAAUACUUAAAGUUCAUAUACAUACAAAUACUUACAUACAAAUUAAGACACUAAAAUACUUAUGAUCGCACCAGCUUUAAAGCUGAUACUCGCUAUCAAAAUAACUUGUACCCUCAGGUCAACCAUAGACAGGUAACGAUGCAAGGUUCAUGGAAGAUGGUGCUCGUUCUAGACGCAUAUUUCAUUUUGAUUUAUGCUUUAGUGUUUAUCAUAAUUUGACAGAACACACUUGUAUUAAAAUUAUAUUAUUAAUGCAAUGGAUGAAGUUGUUGCUUGUUUACUACUUUUCAUUAUUGUGAUACUGUACAUGACGUCCUCCGCCCCAGAACGUUUCCGCCGUUCUUGGUUUUGGGGUGUGACAGAGUGGUAUCAGAGCAUUGUUUAUAGUGAAUUAAGUAUAUCAACCCAUAAAAGAUAUACUAACUAUAAAUACANNNNNNNNNNNNNNNNNNNNNNNNNNNNNNNNNNNNNNNNNNNNNNNNNNNNNNNNNNNNNNNNNNNNNNNNNNNNNNNNNNNNNNNNNNNNNNNNNNNNNNNNNNNNNNNNNNNNNNNNNNNNNNNNNNNNNNNNNNNNNNNNNNNNNNNNNNNNNNNNNNNNNNNNNNNNNNNNNNNNNNUGAUCAACUAUAUUAUCCGAGGGUUGACUAGCAUGUGCCUAAGUGUAGUUGUGUGGUUGCAACAAGUCUAAAAUCUUACCAACCCUACCACAAUGAGAACAGUAGAACAUAACAUUAAACUUAAAAUACUAUAGGAGUAUUUGGUGUUACUAUAAGUACUUUAUACUUAAGAACUAAAACGGGAUCUUCAUUACUAAGUUGAUAGUUGCUAAGUGGAUACACUAAGGCUAUAUGUAAUUAGGAUGUUAUAGACUUAGAAUCUGUGAAAAUUUUACUUUACCCCUAUUCUGUGUGAAUUUGGAGUUAAGGUCACAUAUUCGAAGGCCUAUCAUGUUUCGAUUACGUAUAACUAGUAUGCACUUCACAAAUAGCGAUGUAACUAAUGAGGAUUUUCUAAAUAAUUAUCUAGAUAGUUCGUCUAAUAAUUAUUUUCUUACCCCAAUUCUCGCGUAGAUAACAUGGCUGGACUCCAUCCCCACGGCAACCAGUACCUUCCGAAUGAGGUCAUUGCUGGAUGGUUUGAAGAAGAACCAGAGAAUGAUCAUCAUAUCCUUAUGAAUGAUCACCAUGAUGAAGACCUUUCGGACGAUGCUAACUCCGAACCAGAGGUUGACAACCUACCCCAGGCAGCUCCCGUUCCAAUUCCUAACCCUCGUCCGUCUUUUCAUGGCCCGACGCCUGAGUGGGUGGAAUGCUUGGAAACAUGGAGCCAAGGACAAGACCAGCCCAUGCCAUUUAAUGGCGACCGAAGCUUUUACGACCUGAGCAAUGGGGGCUCAGCAGACAGAAUCUUGCCAAUCUUGGUCCGCAAAGUGGAUCGAAAUGAGAUUCAAGGCAGGACAGCCCUACAUCAGAUCACCGAAGUUGUCGUCGAUGCGAGAAUGCAUACCCUCCGCACCAUUCGUCUAGAAGAUGAUCGCGAGAGAUCAGAGAGAAACCAUGAAACCUUGCUGCAAGCACUGGUUGAGUCCCGAGCCGAAGUUAUAGAGCUCCGAGUACGCCAGAGGGUGUACGAAAGACACCUACUUGAUGUGGAACGUCAACUGCUGAACUGAGAGUUCACCAGAGGGAUGACCGUCGACAGUAGUAGAUGCCUUACUUUAUUUUCCUUAUUAAAAGGAAUCAUUUUUCUGUUUAUGCUCGAUGUGACAUUUUCUAUGAAACUAUUUUGUACUGUAAGUACUUUUGGUUAGGUCUUUAUGCUGUCAAGAACUAUCUUCUCUGGAUAUGAUGUAAGACCUUUUACAAGGUCAUUCUCCUAAACUUCUACGUCAUGAAUAUCAAAGAUAUUGACAGUCGGCUAACUUCUGUGUCAUUUCCUCUAUUCAAGUACUCUCAUCGUACUUUCAUUAGAGUUUAUCUGACACAUGCUUUAGUCAAGUCAUUGGACUAUAGCAAGUUAGCUCCGGAGACAUUUCCAAGUCUCUUUCAGUGGAUUGGAUCAUGUUAUUCACCAACCAACGAUACCUCGGCUUGAACGACAAACGUCUUGAGACCAUUCUACGAACUUACUUCCACCCAGUACUAGGACUGCAUCAUAGGGAUGUAGGUCAAACCUUCGCGAACACACUUCCAUUUCGUGCUAGGACUGCAUCAUAGGGAUGUAGGUCAAACUUUCGAGAACAUACUCUUACUCUUUUCUUGAGCAAUCGAAGUACAUCUAGGGUCAACCAGAAUCACUCACAAAAUCCUUAUAUUUCGUGCUAACAGAAUCAUGUCGUCAUCAAGAAACAAUCAGCUUCGUACGCACAUCUCUUUCUUCGAGAUCGCUUUUGCAGCAAAGACGUCAUAUUAGAAAACCGAAGUACUCAUGCAUGGAGUACCUCAUAUUUCUUUUCUUUCCGAAGAAAUCCCCGAAGUACCACUCGUACAGUACGUCAAGUUCAAUCCAAGGAUCCAUACGGUUGAUCUGUCGCUGAAGAAUGUAUACAUAAGAGUGAUAUAUAAUCAAGGUUCUACAGGUUUAGAAUUGAUGAUUCCACUUUAACUUCUUUUUCCUCAAUGGGAAGUGAGCUUAAAGAAGAAUCAAUUAUUCGACUACCUUUUCAAUCUUAAUUAUAUACGACUCGUAUACACGAUAUUGUGAUCGUUGAACCAAGUAUGAAUUCUAAUAUGAACUUCAGGACGGAGACUGCCCAAGACUACGAGUAAUCACAUCGUCAUGUGAACAAACUUAGAACCCAGUACGACUUCUGUAAACAAAUUUCCCUACAGUCUAAACACCUACGGAGAUACAAGAACAGCCAGGAUAACUUAGCGAACUACAGAGAAAUAGAAUUGGAAGGCUAGGAUCCUCACCCUGGAGAGCUCCGGUCUUAUUCUUCCAGAGGUCGAUGGAUUUGCAUCGUAUGUACCUCAGAUAUUGAGGACUCCGUCAAGAUUUUCCAUUAUAAAUCGUUGUCUCUGCCUCGCAUAGAUGAAUUGGUUGAGCAAACACAAGGAAAGAAUUACUUUCAGAAAUGGAUAUGAGAUCCGAAUAUCACCAGUUCGAGUGUUAGGGAAGGAUGUCCGGAAGACUACCUUCCGAACGCGAUGCGGACACUUCGAGUCCGUAGUGAUACCCCUCGGAUAGGACCAAUACGCCCAUAGUAUUCAUAGGCUAAAUGAGUAGGGUACGUCUUUCUUACUUGGAUCAGUUCGUCAUUUCUCCAUGUAAUGACUUACUUAUCUACCCUCGUAGUGAUAAGGAAUCCAUGGAAACAUUACCCUCGGAGGAACUUUCGCGAAGUUCUCUAAGCACGGGAGUUGAAAUUAAAGAGUCAGAUUCCUAAGACACACUAUUAGUGAUGUGGGAAUUUUUGAGUACUCUUUCAAUUUGUCAAAACCGUUGAGAAUUUGUCGACACUAGAGACGCCGACAGAAAUUCGCCAAAUUCUAGGUCUUGCAGACCUAGUAUCGUCGUCCGUUCAGAACUCCUCGCAAAUUACAGAAAGCCUUACGACUUUAACCCAACAGGGGGUGGCCCUUGACUGGGAAGUUAAUCAAGAGAAAGAACCUUUGGAAUUCCAAGUGAGAGACCAAAUUCUUUAGGAAGUCUCACUCUGGGAAUGGCUUAAUACACUUCAUAGAGCGUGGAAAGCUAAAUCCAAGAUAGUUAGGACCUCCGAGAUUCUUACCAGAAUCGGUCCUGUACCUUACAAACUAGACACGUACAUUUUACCCUUCGUGUCUUAAUCUUGAAACCAUGCCUUUCCGUUAGGACUUUCGUAAGCCACUCGACGAGAUCGAGAUUAACGAGAUCCACGCCUUUCUAUUAGAACCGUAGUGACCCUCGACCGAGAGGUCAAGCGGACGAAGCAACGCCAUCGCCAUUUAGUGAAGGUUCGUUGGGAUACCAACCGAGGACCCGAUUUCACUUAGGAGCGCGAGAACCAAUCGAUUAGGAAGUUUCCACCUCAUGACUUGAUCAUUCAUACCUACUUCCUUACCUAAAUUCUAAUUUCGGGACGAAAUUCCCUUUAACAGGGGGAUGAUGUGACAACCCGAAAUUUCCAUUACGUACAAAGCAUAUCGAGUUAGUAGAAAAUUAGAACAGUUACAGAGAAUUUCCAGACUUUUGGGUAUAAGUUUGAGUAUUUUAGGAUUUACACUUAAGGAGAUAUCAGAAGAGUGGAUGCACUAGUGUUUUGUGCAACACUGUUAUUUCAAAACCCUAUGAUAUUAGAGUUCAUUUCGUGAAUAAAAUAUUUUCUGCCAAAAAUCCCAGGACUAUAUAUAGGAUUCUGAACCAUAUUUAUUCAUUAGUUACACUUCCAACUAGAGAAAAGCCGANAGUUACAUUUCCAACUAGAGAAAAGCCGAAUUCUCUCUCAAGGAUCUUCGGACUUUCGUUCCGGAAAGUGAUUACUUCUAUCUAGUGUUGUUUUAAAGCUUUUUAUAUGCUUAAUACACUAAAAAUCAUAGGAAAACACUAAGAUCUGAGAGUUUACUGCCCAAGAACACCUUGGGGAGUAAACUCUUUUAUAAGGGCCAAAGUGUGCCCAAUGUCCCUCCAAGCCUUGGAACUCAACCUAGAAACUACAAUGACAUGUUUAGACCACAAAAUCAUUAAGAAUCAAAGGCUAGAAGUGAGUUCACGGUCAAGGCUGUUCUUGGGCCGUGAACUCCAUUUUUAGGUGCCAAAACACCCUAAAAGCCUUCCUUAAGCCAAGAGACUAGUUUAGACAUGUACCCUAAUGAGUUUAGGACUAGCAAACACCAUUAGAACACCAAGAGUAAGGUGUUCAUGGCCCAACAAGUUCCAUGGCCGUGAACUCCAAACAAUAGUGCUAAAUUGUGCUAUAAACUUUUCUA
RNAcentral lists this long non-coding RNA (7595 nucleotides) under Lactuca sativa (garden lettuce). Its description in RNAcentral is "long non-coding RNA (LSAT_LNC002621)". Lineage: Eukaryota; Viridiplantae; Streptophyta; Magnoliopsida; Asterales; Asteraceae. The record is from RNAcentral.